Neoarius graeffei (lesser salmon catfish) is the source of this 354-nucleotide long non-coding RNA. RefSeq lists it as uncharacterized. Lineage: Eukaryota; Metazoa; Chordata; Actinopteri; Siluriformes; Ariidae. The transcript has 3 exons. The record is from RefSeq and is a predicted model, not a curated record.
AGGGGUCAUAAGUCAUGAUUCAGCAAGGUCUUCUAGCGUACAUAGAUAUUCAUAGGAUCGUCAGGGUAUGAGAGCGUUUGUUCAAGUCAAGUGAGCUAUCUACCAAGUGGGAUGAUUACGAGAGUGACUGUGUCAGUGUGUAGGUGUGUCCAAGUAGCAGAUUGGACUGAAGACUGCAGAUAAGGUCAGUUCCUCCCAGCUUCUGGGGGCUCUCUUCCAACCAUGCCCCAUUGUGUGCAAGAAGCAUUUUAAAUAAAUCAUUGACUGCAUAGUUACUGUGCAUUUGUUGGUGUUUUUUGGGGGCCGGGAAUUCUUGCUUUAAAUGUUGCACCAUUUCCCCUUGGCCAGGAUGUA